This is a non-coding RNA of Nitrincola nitratireducens, 77 nucleotides long. The record is from Rfam. Lineage: Bacteria; Pseudomonadati; Pseudomonadota; Gammaproteobacteria; Oceanospirillales; Oceanospirillaceae.
UUGAGCCGUAUGCGGGGAAACUCGCACGUACGGUUCUUAGGGGAGGGGUGACCAGUAAUGGUUGCUUUUUACCCGAC